AUCACACCAGUUUGUGAGUCACGUGUGAUCACAAAUUGGCAAGUUCGACAUUAGACAUUCCGCGUCAGAGUCUCUUAGUUUAAGAAGUAAAAUGGCUUUUGCUACAUGGAAAUAUUUAAAGGUUGUGAAAUAUUUCAGAGAUACAACGUAUCUGCGAAAGUGUUUCACGGACGAAAAAUAUGAAGUGGAAAUUGUGAGACAAGGUGGGAAGAAAAUAAUGCCCAGCAAACUACAGUUUGAUCAUCAGAACAAGGAAGUUAAGAACAAACAGGAAGAGUCAAGAGAAGCAACCACACUGAAACUCGAUAGAUGGGACAGCAUGCAGUAUCUGACCCCAAAUUUCUUUCAUGAUUGAGCUGCAAAGUCUCGUUCUGAUGGGUCCAGGAUGAGGCAAGUUUGUUUCUAGCGGCUGUGAGGAUAUGAAUUGAUCAUAAUAUUUGAGAAUGUAUUUUAGCGCAGACUAUAUUUGUUAGUACAUAAUAGUGCUGCUUUAUAAAACAACAGAACCUUAAACUACAGUAUGUGACUGGGGUUCAGCAAAGUCCCUUUCAAGGCCUCUGGGCAGCUAUUUCAGGCAUAUUUGGUCCGGACCAAAGCAAGUGAACUAGCGGUAUUUCCUGGUGUGAAUACACCCUAAGACAAAGUAUGUGUAUGUACUUAAAUGAGGAAUCCUGGGUGAGACUUACUCUGUUAUAUUUAGCAUUGCAUUUUCUCCCAUGCAUAUGUAAUAUGAGUGCACCAUCUUUGUAUAUCUAAAGUCUUUGAGUUCGAUCACGAUCUUAAACUUUUUUUUACUCUGUUAAUUAUUGUUUCCUUUAUGGCUGCAUUUGGAGCUGUGCGUUUUUUUUUUUUUUUUUUUUUUUUUUUUAAAUUUCACAAAGCAUGCACACACACUGACCUUUUUAUUUUUUUUUUAUUGUUAUCUGUUGUCUGUAUUGUUUUUAUUAUCUGUUAUUAUAUUUUAUUUGUCUGUUGAGUAUGGUCACCGCAUUCAGAAUGAGCAUCAUUUUUCUUUCUUUUUAUCUCACUGUAUUUCUUUGCAUUUACAGCACUUUAUCACCUGUAGUUUUAACACUUGCAUCUUCUAUGCCAGCUCACAGAGAAGAAUAAGGGCAGGAUCCAAGUGCAGAAGAACUUUAUUGAAAUAAAAACAAAAAUAAACUAAAGAGCAGAACUAAAAAACAACAUAAUAACCUCCCACAAAUGAACAGACCUGAGCAAGAACACAGAAAACACUGGGGUUUAAAUACACAAGGGCUAACAAUAUAACAAGACACACCUGGGAACAAUCAAGAUUAAUGAUCAGGGGGAACCAAUCAACAAAAUGACUACGAAACCUUGGGUGUGUCUCAGUCAGCUCCCUAGUUCAGUAGUCAGGGCACUGACCAGGGAGUCGGCCAUUUUAAGGGCUGUCUCAAUCGCAGAAUCGCUCCCUAAAAAGUCCCACAAUGCACCGUGAAAACCAGGGAGCAUCGAUGCUCACUAUGCUCCCUUAACGGAAGUUCUGAAGCGCGAAACUUGAUUCACGUGAGCCAACUCACUAUACAUAGCGAUGCACGAUAGAUGAUUUUAAAAAUACAAACCAUUAUUUUAUUACAUUUCAGCAUAAACAUACAUCGCUAGACAGGUAAUGAACAUAAUCUAGCUAACAUUUAUAAUUUAUUUACGGCUGAAAUGUUGCACGUAUAUGUACCAAGCAAAUAAUUUAUCAUAAUGUACUUUAAAUAACAUUACAAGUAAUGCCAGAAAAUAUCAGCUCUGCUGUUGUUCAUAAAUACCAGUAGUGAUGUCGUACAAUGAGGAUGUUGUCACGUCGCCGGAAAUAGAGUCAUAAGUGUCCCAAUGUGUAGUGGACCAGCAUCCUUUACUGUCCUUACCAGUGCCGAAUUCGUGUAGCCUACACGAUAUACUGAUUCAUGAGCUCGGGAGCUGAUUGAGACACACCCCUAGUGAAGAACAUAAAAGAACACACAGGAUUAAGGGAACACAGGCGUUAUCAUGACAGCAUAUAGUCCUGAGCUGUUAAGUAUCUAAACAUUUUUUUUGAUCCUCCACUUUAACUUACUUAUUCAGCUGUCGCUACUGUAACAUUUCUAGACGUUUUUAUUUAUCAGUGUUAGUCUUUCUAUGAGAUGUUCAAAUCAAGUUCUCAGUUCACAUCGUUUCUUUCUUGUUUUCAGAUUGAUUAUUGUUCUCUUAAAAAAUAACAAGUAGCCUACUUGUUUAACAUGUAGCCUAAUUGUGUAAAGAAAUGAAUAGAAUAUCAGUAGGCCUGAUUAUGUAAAGAAUCAGACACUUGAAAAGUACAUGUUGCCAGUUGCCAGUAUGUGUCAGUGCCAAUGAUUUUCUUAAAAAUUUCUGAAGAGUCUCUCUUCUUCCACCUGUUGAUCUUUGGGUUUAUGCAAGUUGUUUGAUGUACAAUCAAAACAUUUUACAUAAUAAAUGACAAUUGACAUCACCAUUGAUUGACACUUGAAAAAUAAAGGAACUCAAAUGUGUGUAUGUGUGGCUUUAAGAGAGGCAACAUACAAUUAUGUUGCUGUUUCAUAUUCCUUUAGCUCUUUCUCUCCCACUGUCAUUAAUAAAAUCUCUGUAAACUUAGAAACUUAAAUUUGACAUUGUCUUGACAAAUCGUUCAUAUAUAUAUUUUUUAUCUAUAAACAAUAAACGUAAGAUAAAAUUAGCAGUAUAGGGUCAACAGCUUUAAAAAUCAACAUAUAGUGAGACGGUUUGAUAUAGGCUACAUUAUAGUUUGUGUAUUUUUGGAACACUCAUAUAUAAACUGUAUUAUUCUGUGGUCAUUGUCUCUGUGUUUUACUGUUAUUUAAAGCAGGACAUUAAUUUCCAAUGUCAAUAACCUACUCAAGUCAAGUGUUCAAAAACUUGGUUUCUUGAUUGAAUAAAGAAACUGAACCAAAACUCA
Ctenopharyngodon idella (grass carp) is the source of this 2923-nucleotide long non-coding RNA. RefSeq lists it as uncharacterized. NCBI's taxonomy places the organism in Eukaryota, Metazoa, Chordata, Actinopteri, Cypriniformes, Xenocyprididae. The record is from RefSeq and is a predicted model, not a curated record. The transcript is spliced from 3 exons.